GUUUCUUUUGUUGUUUUGUCCCAUGAUCUGGUACCAGAGACACACAGUUCAAUCCAGGAGAAAAUGCAUGCCUACUUCAUACUGCUCAGAGAGACCCUGUGAGAAAUUAAGAAUCACUAUAUAAUUCAAGAUACCAUGAGAGGCGAUAGUCAAAGAGUUCUUCAUCAAAGAGCCAGACUAAAGCUUGUACAAGAUGUGUCAAUAUAAUUGGACAGAUGGAGAAGAUGGGGACAUUACGGCACUUAUUUGGAUUAGUAAAGACUAAAAGAAAUAGAAAAAUGAAGAGGUAAAAAAUGUACAUUACUUCUGUAGAAAUAUAAGAUUAUUCAUAAAAUAGUGCAAAAACUGUGUUGGAAUAAAACAAAGCAAGGCAUCUAGG
This 379-nucleotide long non-coding RNA is filed under the name Fukomys damarensis (Damara mole-rat). RNAcentral describes it as "lncRNA (ENSFDAG00000030437.1)". Lineage: Eukaryota; Metazoa; Chordata; Mammalia; Rodentia; Bathyergidae. The record is from RNAcentral.